RNAcentral lists this unclassified non-coding RNA (1483 nucleotides) under Hevea brasiliensis (rubber tree). Lineage: Eukaryota; Viridiplantae; Streptophyta; Magnoliopsida; Malpighiales; Euphorbiaceae. The record is from RNAcentral.
CUAAUUUCAUAUAAUUUCAUACGUCUUGGUAUUUUAAACCAAAAUACAAUUAUCAAACAAAGUGAUUUACUUAUCUAACCCUGCCUAACAACGAAAAAGAUCCAAAAUGUGGUGCAUAACUUACAAAACCAAACCGGGGCUAAGCAUAAGGUAAUAUUGACAUUGGGAAACAAAAAUUCACAAUGGCAAUUUAUUGAAUGGCAAACUUUUAACACCUCUACUUGACUCCUACUAUGGACAUGAGAAACUGCAACUUCUGGUUAAGUAGAUUGAGAUCAUCAUCAGAAGAUUCUUUCAGUGGGGAAGGAGGCUCGACACCGACGAAAGCAUAAAGAGCAUUCACUUCGUCCAUGUACGUUCCAAGGGGUGUGGCAUUGUAUCCUAUGAUUUUCUUCAUCGAGACAAUAUUUUCUCUUAUCUUUACCUCGCUUGAUAAUUCCUCAUUGGAAGACACCCUAUAAUCUUUAUGUGGAGCAUUUGCCUCAACUUUGGGUUCAAUAGUCACAGCUGAUAUAGACAAAUCCUCUUCAGAUUCAAUCACAUCAAUCAUUGUUACUGAAAGAAGUUGUUCAGCUUCUUCAGCCUUGGCAAGCUUGCUUGAGACUUCAGAAGCUCCAUACUCUAAAUGAGGAUGAACAGCAGCAGAGUCAAUUUCAUUCAACAAACCAUGAACACUAUUUUCAGCAGAAUCACUUGGUUUGGCAACUUCCAUCAAAAUGUCGAGCUCUUGAACAUGAUCAAUGCUGCCAUUUGUCUCAGCAAAAUCCUCAUCUCUUCUUCCCUCGUCCCGGAUUCUUUUGAGCAAACCCCUAGCUUCUUCCAACUGUUCUUCCUCAUCUCCAAUAUCUCCAUUUCCUUCAAAUUCUACAUUGGUCACUUCUAUGACUGCCCCUUGAUCUCUGCUUCCAAUGUCAGGUUCGUCCUCUUCGUCCCCCUGAACUACUGCCACGUCAUUAUCCAAAUCAUCCAAAAUCUUUGUUGUUUCCAUCUCACGUUCUCCUUCAUCUUCGUAAUCGAUGAUGCCUUCCUUUUCUUCAUCUUCACAUUCUCCUUCAUCUUCGUAGCCAUUUUCCUCCACUAUUUCUUUGUCAACAUGGUCAAGUUCAAGGGGUGGGGGAAUUGGAAGCCAAACACUCAUGAUCGUUUCGGUGCAAGCGUAAGAGACGAGGAAGACUCCAUAGGGAAUUGAGACUACAAAUCCAAAGGCUGACAUGAUAACCAAUGGAGGAAGAACCACAGGAGCAGAGGAUAUGGCUAAACCAGUGAUGAGAAGCUUCUUCCCCACAUUGCAGCCCCUUUGCACAACAGAGCGUAUCUUUUCACUGCUCAGGCCAUCAUCAGAGGAUAGUUGUUCUUCCAUAUUCCAGUCUAUGCUGCAAUUGCCCUCCAUCCUGAUGAAAUCAGGAGGUUCAUUGGCCAUAAUUAAACAAGGUCUUCUUCAGAAAAAUUCCAUGGCAAACAGAGAGAGAGUGAGAGGGGAGAG